Molecule: ribosomal RNA, 465 nt
Filed under: Vreelandella stevensii
Lineage: Bacteria; Pseudomonadati; Pseudomonadota; Gammaproteobacteria; Oceanospirillales; Halomonadaceae
Description: partial 16S ribosomal RNA
Rfam family: Bacterial small subunit ribosomal RNA
Source: RNAcentral
CCUACGGGAGGCAGCAGUGGGGAAUAUUGGACAAUGGGGGGAACCCUGAUCCAGCCAUGCCGCGUGUGUGAAGAAGGCCCUCGGGUUGUAAAGCACUUUCGUUGAGGAAGAACGCCUGGUGGUUAAUACCCAUCAGGAAGGACAUCACUCACAGAAGAAGCACCGCCUAACUCCGUGCCAGCAGCCGCGGUAAUACGGAGGGGGCGAGCGUUAAUCGGAAUUACUGGGCGUAAAGCGCGCGUAGGUGGCUUGAUAAGCCGGUUGUGAAAGCCCCGGGCUCAACCUGGGAACGGCAUCCGGAACUGUCAAGCUAGAGUGCAGGAGAGGAAGGUAGAAUUCCCGGUGUAGCGGUGAAAUGCGUAGAGAUCGGGAGGAAUACCAGUGGCGAAGGCGGCCUUCUGGACUGACACUGACACUGAGGUGCGAAAGCGUGGGUAGCAAACAGGAUUAGAUACCCCGGUAGUC